GGGCACGUCUCAGGGCAUGGUAGAAGCCACCAGCUCAUUCCCAGCAGUCAGGAAGGAUGAGGCCAUCCCAGACGAGUGACUGGCUUGCUGUGUGGAUUGGAUCUGUGCUAUGUAUGCCAUUUGCUGACCUGGCCAUAGAAUGGGUGCCAGCCCUGAUUAGUUUCCUAGUAGACAUGUAGCCUCUGAUACCAUGCUGAAAUGGGAGUUGCUGUACUCAGGCUGUGAGGAAAGCUUCUGCUGAUAGGUAUGGUGUGCUCAUCCUCCUGGGAAACUGGCCUGCAAGUGGUGCUGCGAUGACCCCUGUAGCCAAGAAAAGAGAAGUGAAUGGUUCAGCCAGAUGGUCCCAAACCUAUCCUGAGGAUGCUGACUGUCUAUGGUAUGGGACUUGAAGACUCUAACAUUAGAAGCAGUGUGUUGUACUUAAAAUGCUUGUUAUCUUGAAACAGAGUGGACUGAUGAAGUAACAGGCAGGGAAUCUGAGUCUCUUAUUUUUUCAGAAGUUUAGGAAUCAUUUGAGCUCUGACACAGUGAAUCCCAAUAUUAAUCAGUGAGAACUCUUCAGCCCUUCUUGAAAAGAGAAUUUCAGGUGAAUUGGACUAUUCUUAAAACAGCGAGGUACUUCAGGCUCCAGCUGUCUGCUAAGAUUUUCUGUGCCUCAGUCCAAUCACAGAAAUAGAGAGUUAAUCAAACUCAUAAAAAAUGUUCAUGCAAUGUUUGAAAUACUAAACUGGACAGACUUGAAUUAGCUACCUCUGAGGAGGGCAAGAGACUUUUAUCCCUUAUACAAGUGUAAUUCUAUUGAUGCGGAAAUAUUGCAACCAGUAUUGCUUAAUGUCUUCUUUCUUAUUAGAACAUUAAGUAGUAAUUUCCUUUCCUCCCCCACCCCGCACUUCACCUUAUGCAUUAUAUUUACUGAGAACAGCAGGUAACAAGGCAAGCCUGGCAUCUGACCAAAAAGGUUUUUUAGCUAGUGAUUCAUUAGUGUGUAUAAAAAUAGCUAACCUUGUUUAAAGGCACUUCUUACACAAAAAGAAAGGAGUUCAAUUACCGUAGCUCAUUCAAAGUGAAGAUUUAACAUCUUUACCAGGACAGUGCACUAAUCCCAUGAAUCCUGUUUAUGCUGAAAUGUAGUGCUAUUGGCAAUAAACAGCAAUUUGAGAAGUCAUAACACAAGAAAAUCAUUGUCAAGUGACUUUAGAACUCCCUAUAAAUUUCCUCUUGAUGCCUUUGGCAGUAGUGCUCAACAACAGAGUUAAAUAUUUGUAUUAGAUGCUCCUGCCUUUAACAGACUAAUUAAAAAGAUGGAAUUCUUUGAUUCUAUCUCAAAUCAUUUUAGUUCUAAUCUCUCUCGAGCAAAGUCAGCUCCAUAAAUUGAGCUAAACGUUUUUGGUUUCUUUUCCCUGAAUAGAGACUUUACAGUGUAGCAAUAAAUUCAAGCACCGGGAAAGUAAAUGUAAGUGAAGUGCUUUUAAUGAUGCUAUUGUGUAGUUGUUAUGGUUAUAAUCCCAUUACACAGACCUCUGUCUUGAAGGUUACAAAUUCUUCUAGAAAGUAUUCUAAUGGGAAAGGACACUGCUUAAUGCUUUGUGUUUAAGUGUAACAAAAUAGGGGAGGAUUUAAAUUUGAAGAACCAAGACACCAGGCUGCCUGUCAUGAAGAGCAUCUGAUUUGUAUUUCCCUAGAAAAUAUGUAAUGGGAAUAAUGGUUAUUAAGAUAAAUAUAUACUAAGCUCAUCCUUGGGACAUAGUUGUGGUUGAAUGAAUGGUGGUGAGGGUAAGGAUUUAUGCUAACUUUGCUAAGGCAAGGACUUACUCUUUUUUGCAUCACAGCUAUGUCUGGAAAGUGCUGUUCUAAUCCACACCUGCAAACUUAAGAAACAAUAACUGCAUGAGGAACUAUCAGUCUGGAAACCUGAUCCCAAACUAAAUGAAGUCAGUGUGAGACUUCCAUUGAUUUUAAUGAUUUGGAGCCAAGUAUUUCUAAGACAAAAAUCAAUAUUGUCCCACA
Tympanuchus pallidicinctus (lesser prairie-chicken) is the source of this 2007-nucleotide long non-coding RNA. RefSeq lists it as uncharacterized. Lineage: Eukaryota; Metazoa; Chordata; Aves; Galliformes; Phasianidae. The transcript is spliced from 2 exons. The record is from RefSeq and is a predicted model, not a curated record.